GCUGGGCAUGGUGGCACAUACCUGUGGUCCCAGCUACUUUGGAGGCUGAGGCAGGAGGAUCAUUUGAGCCCAGGAGGUCAAGGCUGCAGUGAGCCAAGAUUGUGCCAUUGCACUCUGGCCUGGGUAACAAAGUGAAACCCUGUCUCAA
RNAcentral lists this signal recognition particle RNA (148 nucleotides) under Pan paniscus (pygmy chimpanzee). Its description in RNAcentral is "Metazoan signal recognition particle RNA". It matches the Rfam family "Metazoan signal recognition particle RNA". Rfam says of the family: The signal recognition particle (SRP) is a universally conserved ribonucleoprotein. It is involved in the co-translational targeting of proteins to membranes. The eukaryotic SRP consists of a 300-nucleotide 7S RNA and six proteins: SRPs 72, 68, 54, 19, 14, and 9. RNAcentral also lists the same sequence under 1 other name. The record is from Rfam by way of RNAcentral. Lineage: Eukaryota; Metazoa; Chordata; Mammalia; Primates; Hominidae.